AUCAUGGCUCAGGAUGGACGCUAGCUACAGGCUUAACACAUGCAAGUCGAGGGGCAGCAUGGUCUUAGCUUGCUAAGGCUGAUGGCGACCGGCGCACGGGUGAGUAACGCGUAUGCAACCUGCCCGAUACCGGGGUAUAGCCCAUGGAAACGUGGAUUAACACCCCAUAGUACUUUUAUCCUGCAUGGGAUGUGAGUUAAAUGUUCAAGGUAUCGGAUGGGCAUGCGU
This 228-nucleotide ribosomal RNA is filed under the name uncultured bacterium. Its description in RNAcentral is "partial 16S ribosomal RNA". It matches the Rfam family "Bacterial small subunit ribosomal RNA", at positions 16 to 236 of the family's 1533-position model. The record is from RNAcentral.